This 461-nucleotide ribosomal RNA is filed under the name uncultured bacterium. RNAcentral's name for it is "partial 16S ribosomal RNA". It matches the Rfam family "Bacterial small subunit ribosomal RNA", at positions 338 to 795 of the family's 1533-position model. The record is from RNAcentral.
CCUACGGGUGAGCAGCAGUGAGGAAUAUUGGUCAAUGGGCGGGAGCCUGAACCAGCCAAGUCGCGUGAGGGAAGACGGUCCUACGGAUGGUAAACCUCUUUUGCCGGGGAGAAACGGGGUCCUUGCGAGGGCCCGAUGAGAGUACCCGGAGACAAAGCAUCGGCUAACACCGUGCCCGCAGACGCGGUAAUACGGAGGAUGCGAGCGGUACGCGGUUUUAUGGGGUUUAAAGGGGGCGUAGGCGGGCUGUUAAGUCAGCGGUAAAAUGUCGGGGCUCAACCCCGGCCUGCCGUUGAAACUGGCUGCAUCGAGUGGGCGAGAAGUAUGCGGAAUGCGUGGUGUAGCGGUGAAAUGCAUAGAUAUCACGCAGAACUCCAAUUGCGAAGGCAGCAUACCGGCGCCCGACUGACGCUGAGGCACGAAAGCGUGGGUAUCGAACAGGAUUAGAUACCCCGGUAGUC